Molecule: long non-coding RNA, 576 nt
Filed under: Phascolarctos cinereus (koala)
Lineage: Eukaryota; Metazoa; Chordata; Mammalia; Diprotodontia; Phascolarctidae
Description: lncRNA (ENSPCIG00000034010.1)
Source: RNAcentral
CUGUUUUGGCCAGCAUUACUCCACCCAUCCCUUCAUCACAAUCGGAUAGUUGGAUUUAGAAAUAGUGGAAGCCCGCUGAGCCGAAAAGCAACAUUAUUGCACAAGGGGAAAGGGAGGGGAAAAAAAAAAGCCUGGGAGAGAAUGUUUGUUUGCUGUUCUCUCUAGAGCAAAACAUCCCAUCCCAGGUCUGCAGGAAGAGUACAGCUUCACUUGUAAUUACAUAUCUCUGGGACCUGGGCUAAUUUGCAUGGAUGACUUAAGUGGAAAAGUCAAGAUGUCACUAAGGUUGAUCAUAUACACAGCCAACUCUGGGACAUCAGGAGCACAGGGAGAUGGGGAGAUUGUUUUACCAUUUUUAAAAGGGUGGGGGAGGGAUAAGAAAAGCAUCCUGGAACACUAAAAUUCCAUCUAAACAAUUACCAUGUAAAUCACUGAAACCAAUCAUCAUGAAUACCUUUGUAAGUUAUGUCUUUAUUUCUCUUGAGCUGGAUUUUGUUUAAAUGGUUUUGAUGUUCAAGAACAAAAAGGAUUUUUUCUGCUGACAGUAUAGGAAUUUGGACCUGCAAGAUGUACUCG